This 253-nucleotide ribosomal RNA is filed under the name uncultured bacterium. RNAcentral describes it as "partial 16S ribosomal RNA". It matches the Rfam family "Bacterial small subunit ribosomal RNA", at positions 524 to 776 of the family's 1533-position model. The record is from RNAcentral.
UACGUAGGGCGCAAGCGUUGUCCGGAUUUACUGGGCGUAAAGAGCGCGCAGGCGGUCGGAUAAGUCGAAUGUGAAAGCCCCCGGCUCAACUGGGGAGGGUCAUUCGAUACUGUUCGACUCGAAGGCAGGAGAGGGAAGUGGAAUUCCCGGUGUAGUGGUGAAAUGCGUAGAUAUCGGGAGGAACACCAGUGGCGAAGGCGACUUCCUGGCCUGUUCUUGACGCUGAGGCGCGAAAGCUAGGGGAGCAAACGGG